CAGUCGCCACGGGAAUACGAAGGGGGCUAGCGCUGUUCGGAAUCACUGGGCGUAAAGCGCACGUAGGCGGAUACUUAAGUCAGGGGUGAAAUCCCGGGGCUCAACCUCGGAACUGCAUUUGAUACUGGGUAUCUUGAGUCCGGGAGAGGUUGGUGGAACUCCGAGUGUAGAGGUGAAACUCGUAGAUAUUCGGAAGAACACCAGUGGCGAAGGCGGCCAACUGGCACGGUACUGACGCUGAGGUGCGAAAGCGUGGGGAGCAAACAGGAUUAGAUACCCCUGUAGUCCCUGUCUCUUAUAA
Molecule: ribosomal RNA, 301 nt
Filed under: uncultured bacterium
Lineage: Bacteria
Description: partial 16S ribosomal RNA
Rfam family: Bacterial small subunit ribosomal RNA
Source: RNAcentral